Molecule: RNA transcript, 3881 nt
Organism: Mus musculus (house mouse)
Lineage: Eukaryota; Metazoa; Chordata; Mammalia; Rodentia; Muridae
Gene: Stk11
Gene name: serine/threonine kinase 11
Exons: 11
Source: RefSeq, marked validated
GGCGCGGCGCAGGGCGGUAAACAAGAUGGCGGCGGCGUGUCGGUCUAGGAAAGGGGAGGCGGCUCACGGCGUCCGCGAGUGAGGCGCGAGUCGCCGAGGGCGGCGCCGGCGUGGAGUUGUCUCUCGCGGGCAGCAUCUUUCUGCCUGGAGUUCGAUUCCCCCCUCGCCGCUCCGGCCUCCUGCCUGUCGCGCGGCGGCUAGGCGGCGAGGGGGACGCGCCGCCUGGGGUGGUUUUUUUCCCCCCUCGGUCCCCGGAAGAUUUCCUGUCCGGAUUUCGUGUCCGCGACUUGCGGGUGUCCCGGUGUCCCGCGUCCGGGUGGAGUCUGCGCCCCGAGAAGUCGUAGAACUAAGGGGCCGCGCGCGGCUUCGGCGCGGGCCGGACAUGGACGGCGCGGACCGGCCUCGACGCGGCCGCCUGGGCCCCUGAGCGCGGGGCCCAAGUGGCGAACAUGACCUAGCGGCCCGCGCGCCGCGACGGCGGACCGUCGCCUCCGUCGGAAGCAGCGUCCCCGGGGACCCGAAUUGGGGGGACGCGAGGGUUGGGGGGGCUCAUUGCUUUUUUUUUUUUCAUUCUUAUUUUCAUUUUUUUUCUCCCUGAGCACCUAGAAGAAAAGGGGAAAAUCAAAAGUGAAGAAUUGGCGCCCAGGAAGCGGACGUGGACCCGGUUGUGGGGACCGGGAGAGUUGUGGAGGUCGUUCCUGUUUUUCCCCGUUCCUUUUUUCCCCUUCUUGGAACAUUUGGAAGAAGCGGGUGGGGGGGGGGGAAUUCGAACUUGAAAAGAAUUGGCGCUCCCGAAGGGGACGAGGACAAAGAGUGGGCCAGGAUGGACGUGGCGGACCCCGAGCCGUUGGGCCUUUUCUCCGAGGGCGAGCUGAUGUCGGUGGGCAUGGACACCUUCAUCCACCGCAUCGACUCCACCGAGGUAAUCUACCAGCCGCGCCGCAAACGCGCCAAGCUCAUCGGCAAGUACCUGAUGGGGGACCUGCUCGGGGAGGGCUCGUACGGCAAGGUGAAGGAGGUGCUGGACUCCGAGACCUUAUGCCGCAGGGCGGUCAAGAUCCUCAAGAAGAAAAAGCUGCGCAGGAUCCCCAAUGGAGAGGCCAACGUCAAGAAGGAGAUCCAGCUGCUGCGGCGGCUGCGGCAUCGGAAUGUGAUCCAGCUUGUGGACGUGCUGUACAAUGAGGAGAAGCAGAAGAUGUAUAUGGUGAUGGAGUACUGCGUAUGUGGCAUGCAGGAGAUGCUGGACAGUGUGCCGGAGAAGCGCUUCCCUGUGUGCCAAGCUCAUGGGUACUUCCGCCAGCUGAUUGACGGCCUGGAAUACCUACACAGCCAGGGCAUUGUUCACAAGGACAUCAAGCCGGGCAACCUGCUACUCACCACCAAUGGCACACUCAAGAUCUCCGACCUCGGUGUUGCCGAGGCCCUGCACCCUUUCGCUGUGGAUGACACCUGCCGGACAAGCCAGGGCUCCCCGGCCUUCCAGCCUCCUGAGAUUGCCAAUGGACUGGACACCUUUUCAGGUUUCAAGGUGGACAUCUGGUCAGCUGGGGUCACACUUUACAACAUCACCACGGGCCUGUACCCAUUUGAGGGGGACAAUAUCUACAAGCUCUUUGAGAACAUUGGGAGAGGAGACUUCACCAUCCCUUGUGACUGCGGCCCACCACUCUCUGACCUACUCCGAGGGAUGUUGGAGUAUGAGCCGGCCAAGAGGUUCUCCAUCCGACAGAUUAGGCAGCACAGCUGGUUCCGGAAGAAACACCCUCUGGCUGAGGCGCUCGUACCUAUCCCACCAAGCCCAGACACUAAGGACCGCUGGCGCAGUAUGACUGUAGUGCCCUACCUGGAGGACCUGCAUGGCCGUGCGGAGGAGGAGGAGGAGGAAGACUUGUUUGACAUUGAGGACGGCAUUAUCUACACCCAGGACUUCACAGUGCCUGGUGUCGAGGAGGCGGCCGAGGCAGGGCUUAGCGAGGAUGCAUGCGACACAUGCAUGUGGAAGAGCCAGGGCGCAGGCCUUCCUGGAGAGGAGCCCGAGGAGGGGUUUGGGGCUUUAGUGUAGCUCCCUGUCUGCUGCCCCACCCAUGUCCUCCAUAAAGCUUUGUCCACUGUGUCUGCAGGUGGAUGCUUGCCGCGACUUCCCUCCUGUCACUACCCUGACAGGCUCCCCACCAGGGUUUCAGAGAACAUGCCUGGGUCCAAGGCCUGAGCUAGGUCCUCAGUGCCAGGGUGGCCACCAGCCAGGGGCUCUUGGGGCCUUUGUUCCUGUGGCCUGCAUGCCAGUCCCACUUAGCUCCUGGCCUUUCAAAUAGCUUUGGUGGGAGGGUAAGGACCUUGGGCUACUGUGUCUCCUGUAGCAAUUGAGAGUUCUAAUAGCAGUGCCCGCUGGGUGCCAGGUGGAAUCCACAAGGACAGGUAUACACCUGAUGUCCAGUAUGGGCCUUGGCCACAGCCCUUUCUAAGGUUUAAAGCAUCCCUAUGUGGGAAUAGUGUCUUCUACUCUGUCACGUGGAGCCCUUGUCUAGACUGUCCCACAGGCUGGGCUCCUGGCUGAGAGCUGGUUUCUCUGCUGGGGAGAAGAUGUACUUAGGUGCUGGUUGCAUGAGGGACCCUUAAGGCUGCUGUGGUUUGAAGGAAGGCAAGGGUCUGGGGACACUGGUUGGCCAUGGAGCCCAUUUGUCAAAUGGGGUAGUGUUGCACAGAGUGAAGUGACCGUGCUCUGAGGAUAGCCUGAUCCCUCUGUACUUGGCAUGAGGGUCGGACUCUGCAGCAACAGGACAGGGGCUUUCUACUCAGUGCCUUGUGUGGAGGAGGGGACAGAUGCUUUCUCAGAGUCCACCUGACCUCAAGCCUCAGUCCCAUGCAGAGUGAGCCAGAGUGGGUGCUGCUAGUGUGGCCAAGUCAGAGGGUUUGGGAGAGAAAUUCUGGAUCCAGGAGCGUGGGCAGUGGGCUGUGUGCUGGGUUCCACAGCCGCAUUGCCAAGCACUGGACUGUGGAGUUACAUGUAGACACUGACCUCUGGAGCCUGGGAAGCUUCAGGAGAGGCCAUCUUUUGUCCCACUGCGAGGGCAGGCCAACAGAGCAAGCUGGUCUGCAGCCCUCAGCUGGAUGAUCUCCUUCCCGGUGCUCAUCGCAGCUAGUAGCUCCCAGGCCGAAUGCUUCAUCUCCUUGUGCCUGUACUGAGGGUCUAGAGCCUCUCCCUUGGAGAGCUCUGUGAGCUGGUGCUGGGCUGCCCAGGCUAGACAGGCAGGACAGGUCCUGGAAGAGGAAGUGGGUCAGAAUGGACAGAGCCACAGUUUGCCCAAGGCUGUUUGUGUGAAUGGCACAGAGCCCCAGCUCAGCAGCAAGGUGAAGCCAGAAGGCCGACCUGGCACCGCCAACCCUGCGCGCAAGGUGUGCUCCAGCAACAAGAUCCGCCGGCUCUCGGCCUGCAAGCAGCAGUGACUGAGGCCUACAGUGUGUCAUCAGGAUCUCUGGGCAGGUGUCCCUGCAAGGCUGGGUUUUCCAGGCCUGCCUGUCCACUCACUUCGGGACGUUGGAGCCGAGGGCGGACCUGCUGCCCCAGAAGCACUUUAUGUCGAGACCACUGGCCGGCCUUGCCUGCAUGCCGCCCUGCGAGCCUCGCUGUCUUUGGGUUGGUUUCUUUUUUUUUAAUAAAACAGGUGGAUUUGAGCUAUGGCUAUGAGGGUGUUUGGAAAUAUGGAGCAGGCGGGGCACAGGGUGGCCUGCAGAGAAAACCCAGAGCAAACAAAUAUGCAGAGACAUUUAUGAUUAACCAGACAACACGACCAACCACAGAGGGCGCAGGGCAGGGAGUGGGCAGGCACUCACAGCGAGUCUGCCCUAUCUUUUGGCAAUAAAUAAAGCUUGGGAAACUUGAA